Molecule: long non-coding RNA, 1122 nt
Organism: Heterocephalus glaber (naked mole-rat)
Lineage: Eukaryota; Metazoa; Chordata; Mammalia; Rodentia; Bathyergidae
Source: Ensembl
CUGUUGGGUUCAGAGUUUUGUAGUCUCCCAAGCCCUUUACAGUAGUGGUCCCCAACCUCUUUGGUGCCAGGGGCUGGUUUCAUGGAAGACUCUUUCCACAGACCUGCCACAGUGAGGUUUGUGCUUCUCUGACAAUCUGCUGGGGCUGUGAUCUGACAGGAGGCAGAGCUCAGGUGGCACUGUAAAAGCCGAUGAAGCUUCCUGGUCUGUGGCCCAGGGCUGGGGACCCCUGCAGUAAGAAAAAGAAAGAAGAGUUGCUUGUCUCCAGACGGUGGUGUUGAGGCCAGCAGUAGUGCCUUGAGCUCCUUCUGGGUUCCUGCCAGCCUCCCCCAACAAGUGACCAAGGGCAGGUUUGGACAUGGACCCUCAAUGGAAGACUUCUUGCCCUCGAGGCAUCGUAAAGGCCGAGCUCUUGGCCGGUUUGUGAUUUUGUUGUUUGCGACAAGAUCUCACUAGGCCUAGGCUGGCCUUGAGCUUGGGGUGCUUGGCGUCCUGUCUCAGCCUUCUGGAGUCCCGAGGUUACAGGUGUAUGCCACUCUGCCCAGCCUUCCUAACCUGUUUCUUCACGUGCACCUGUUCCAAGCGCAGGAUCCCAUCCUCUUCCAGAAACAGACCUCCAAAGGAGCCGUCUGCGCCCUGCCUCUGUCCAGGGCUGUAGAGGCUCCUGCAGAGCCAGAGGGGCGCGGCAAGGGAUGCCCCUAGGUCCUUCCUUCACUCCAGUCUCUCUCAAGUCUCACGGAGCUCGCCCAGGUCCUGAUGGGCACUGAAUCCAACUGAAGAGAUUAAAUGUGCUGGGCUCACCCCGGAGUGUCCUCCAUUCUUUAGAAAAGGAGUUAAACUUGGGGACGGUGGCUUCUCCUUCCCGCCCAGAUCCCCAGAUCCUUCAGUAAAUCCCCACCUCUGCUGGAGAACAAGCAUCUGGGACAGGGCAGAUCGGGGAAGAGAGCGGUGGAGAGAGCGGGAGAAGGAUGGCGGGGCUAGCGGCUGCGAGCCAGACUCUCCUUCUCGUCGGAAGCUGAGCGGGCGGGUGCGGACUGGGAACCCGCUGGAAGCCGGCGCCCGCACACCCCAGGCUCGGCUCAGCCGGACGGCACUGACCAUGGGGAAAGGGGCGACCGAGAC